Acanthosepion pharaonis is the source of this 101-nucleotide non-coding RNA. NCBI's taxonomy places the organism in Eukaryota, Metazoa, Mollusca, Cephalopoda, Sepiida, Sepiidae. The record is from the annotation of a GenBank genome assembly.
GUGUUAAAACACCUGUCACCGUACGAUCACCGCAGUCAAUCAACGCCGAGCCGAGGUAGUACAUAGAUGGGUGACUGCUUGGGAAUACCAGGUGCUGUAAG